GACUAUCUUUACGCCACGUUGAAUACACCAGUUCUCGUCAGCUCACUGAAGUUAAGCGACGUCGGGCGUGGUCAGUACUCGGAUGGGUGACCAUCUGGGAGAUCACGUUAUGUUGAUUU
This 119-nucleotide ribosomal RNA is filed under the name Olea europaea subsp. europaea. Lineage: Eukaryota; Viridiplantae; Streptophyta; Magnoliopsida; Lamiales; Oleaceae. The record is from RNAcentral.